This 448-nucleotide ribosomal RNA is filed under the name uncultured bacterium. Its description in RNAcentral is "partial 16S ribosomal RNA". It matches the Rfam family "Bacterial small subunit ribosomal RNA", at positions 338 to 795 of the family's 1533-position model. The record is from RNAcentral.
CCUACGGGAGGCAGCAGUCGAGAAUCUUCGGCAAUGGGCGCAAGCCUGACCGAGCGACGCCGCGUGGAGGAUGAAGGCCUUCGGGUUGUAAACUCCUGUCGAGGGGGAGGAAGGCGCAAGCUUGACCGAUCCCUGGAGGAAGCACGGGCUAAGUUCGUGCCAGCAGCCGCGGUAAGACGAACCGUGCGAACGUUAUUCGGAAUCACUGGGCUUAAAGCGCGUGUAGGCGGAUCGGCGCGUCGGCGACUGAAAGCCCCCGGCUCAACCGGGGAAGCGGCGCCGAAACGGCCGGUCUGGAGGGGCGUAGGGGGACCUGGAACUUCCGGUGGAGCGGUGAAAUGCGUUGAGAUCGGAAGGAACGCCCGUGGCGAAAGCGAGGUCCUGGACGCCUGCUGACGCUGAGACGCGAAAGCCAGGGGAGCGAACGGGAUUAGAUACCCCGGUAGUC